Molecule: non-coding RNA, 108 nt
Filed under: Muribacter muris
Lineage: Bacteria; Pseudomonadati; Pseudomonadota; Gammaproteobacteria; Pasteurellales; Pasteurellaceae
Description: Actinobacillus muris Glycine sequence
Rfam family: Glycine riboswitch aptamer
About the family: This family represents the bacterial glycine riboswitch. Glycine riboswitches usually consist of two metabolite-binding aptamers domains with similar structures in tandem.
Source: RNAcentral
GGACGAACCCUUGGAGAGAUCCACUCCGCGAGUGCGGAAAAUGGACGCCGAAGGCGCAAGCGUAGUUAUCUGCGUGAAACGCUCAGGCAAAAGGACAGGGGAGAAAAG